RNAcentral lists this ribosomal RNA (430 nucleotides) under uncultured Acidobacteriota bacterium. RNAcentral's name for it is "bacterial SSU rRNA". It matches the Rfam family "Bacterial small subunit ribosomal RNA", at positions 355 to 776 of the family's 1533-position model. Lineage: Bacteria; Pseudomonadati; Acidobacteriota. The record is from RNAcentral.
UGGGGAAUUUUUCGCAAUGGGGGAAACCCUGACGAAGCAACGCCGCGUGGGGGAUGAAGGUCUUCGGAUUGUAAACCCCUGUCGACCGGGACGAAUGUGGUCCGGCCUAAUAUGCCGGGCCAUUGACUGUACCGGUGGAGGAAGCCACGGCUAACUCUGUGCCAGCAGCCGCGGUAAUACAGAGGUGGCAAGCGUUGUUCGGAAUUACUGGGCGUAAAGGGCGCGUAGGCGGUUCGCUAAGUCCCGCGUGAAAUCCCCCGGCUCAACCGGGGAACUGCGCGGGAAACUGGUGGGCUUGAGUUCGGGAGAGGGAAGCGGAAUUCCGGGUGUAGCGGUGAAAUGCGUAGAUAUCCGGAGGAACACCGGUGGCGAAGGCGGCUUCCUGGACCGACACUGACGCUGAGGCGCGAAAGCUAGGGGAGCAAACGGG